GGGUAACCUACCCUAUGCUGGGGAAUAAGCUCGGGAAACUGAGAAUAAUACCCCAUAGUCCACUACGCCUGGAACGGUGAGUGGAUCAAAGCUCCGGCGGCAUAGGAUGGGCCUGCGGCGUAUCAGGUUGUAGGGGGUGUAAUGUACCCUCUAGCCAUCCACGCGUACGGGUGUUGGGAGACAUUGCCCGGAGAUGGAUUCUGAGACACGAAUCCAGACCCUACGGGGUGCAGCAGGCGCGAAAACUUGGCAAUGCGAGAAAUCGUGACCAGGGAACUCCAAGUGGCAGGGGUAAGACCCUGUCUUUUUCCGACUCUAAAUAGGUCGGCGAAUAAGGGGUGGGUAAGGACGGUGCCAGCCGCCGCGGUAAUACCGGCGCCUCAAGUGGUAGUCGCUUUUAUUGGGCCUAAAACGUCCGUAGCCGGUCUGGUACAUUCGUGGGUAAAUCAACUCGCUCAACGAGUUGAAUUCUGCGAGGACGGCCAGACUUGGGACCGGGAGAGGUGUGGGGUACUCUCAGGGUAGGGGUAAAAUCCUGUCAUCCUGAGAGGACCACCUGUUGCGAAGGCUCCACACUAGAACGGAUCCGACGGUCAGGGACGAAGCCUAGGGGCACGAACCGGAUUAGAUACCCGGGUAGUCCUAGGUGUAAACGCUGUGGACUUGAUGUUGGGGACGCUCCGAGCGUUCUCAGUGUC
RNAcentral lists this ribosomal RNA (698 nucleotides) under uncultured marine archaeon. Its description in RNAcentral is "bacterial SSU rRNA". It matches the Rfam family "Archaeal small subunit ribosomal RNA", at positions 102 to 802 of the family's 1478-position model. The record is from RNAcentral.